RNAcentral lists this ribosomal RNA (460 nucleotides) under uncultured bacterium. RNAcentral's name for it is "partial 16S ribosomal RNA". It matches the Rfam family "Bacterial small subunit ribosomal RNA", at positions 338 to 795 of the family's 1533-position model. The record is from RNAcentral.
CCUACGGGGGGCAGCAGUGAGGAAUAUUGGUCAAUGGACGAGAGUCUGAACCAGCCAAGUAGCGUGCAGGAUGACUGCCCUAUGGGUUGUAAACUUCUUUUAUAAAGGAAUAAAACGAGGCACGUGUGCCUCUUUGCAUGUACCUUAUGAAUAAGGAUCGGCUAACUCCGUGCCAGCAGCCGCGGUAAUACGGAGGAUCCGAGCGUUAUCCGGAUUUAUUGGGUUUAAAGGGAGCGUAGAUGGGUUGUUAAGUCAGUUGUGAAAGUUUGCGGCUCAACCGUAAAAUUGCAAUUGAUACUGGCAGUCUUGAGUACAGUUGAAGUAGGCGGAAUUCGUGGUGUAGCGGUGAAAUGCUUAGAUAUCACGAAGAACCCCGAUUGCGAAGGCAGCUUACUAAACUGUGACUGACAUUGAUGCUCGAAAGUGUGGGUAUCAAACAGGAUUAGAUACCCUGGUAGUC